CUGGUCGAGAUGCACUGAAGGAAUUUUAGAUCAGUUCUGAUUAAAAGGCUCAUGUUGCAGCCUUUGGUGAGAUCAAGUAUCCAAUGCCUGUUACGUACACAGCAGCACAAAAUAAUCUGCAAGAUCUCAAAGAUCUCAAGGAUCAUUCAAUCACAAAUACGCAUCAGUCCUGCUGCACAUCAUCAAAAAGCCAGAAGAAGCAACUGCCACCAAAGCUGGAACGCCCACGCUCCUGAAAAGGCUGUGAACUCCAGAAAAAAAAAGCCUUUGUUGUAGGGAUGAAAAGCAGCAUUUGAAAUGCACAAAACACACUGUCUCCAAGUGAUUUCUGGAGCUUAACAUCACAGAGAAGACUCUGGGUAAGAUGGUGUACAAGUGGACUACUUGAAGGAGCAGAUGUCACGAACUGAAUGUGCUGCUCGGCGCGGUUCUUCUGCUCAAAAGGUCAAAGUCAAAGGAAACAGUCUUCCCCUGACGGCGGGAGGCGCUGCGAGGGAAGGAGGAGGAAAAUACAAACAGCGAGGAAGCGCCGGGCGAGGACACGAGCGGCGGGUGAAAUCAGCUAGUUAGUAGUCAGAGGGCGACGCGGAAACAUCCAAGCGGGUUGUUUUUCAUGGCGGCUCGCUGUGAGGAUGAAGCACAGUCUGAGAGUUAUUACGCCAGGAAGAGCUUCAGAAAAACACCCGUAAAGAUUUACAUGAAGUGGCUGCUGGGAAUACGGACACGGACGUUGUGCGAUGGAUACCUGCGUAUUAUGCAAAAAUCCUCCCCGGGCCCUUUUUAGGCGAAGGAGUCAGACUGGGACGGACGGAGGCCCCCGGCUUACAUUAGUACAUAAAUACAAACCGCCCACAUUCGGCGCAGUUCCGUUCCAGUAAUCAGUCUCAUUUGACCCAUUUUGUGUAACAUUAUGCUUACCCAGCUGGUAUGAUUUCACCCCCCCCCCCCCCCCCCCCGCCCCCCCACGACCAUUGAUGGGCUGUUAAUAAAGCUUUUAGAACAUUAGCC
Gasterosteus aculeatus aculeatus (three-spined stickleback) is the source of this 1008-nucleotide long non-coding RNA. The record is from Ensembl. Lineage: Eukaryota; Metazoa; Chordata; Actinopteri; Perciformes; Gasterosteidae.